CCUACGGGAGGCAGCAGUGGGGAAUAUUGCACAAUGGGGGAAACCCUGAUGCAGCGAAGCCGCGUGAGUGAAGAAGGUUCUCGGCUUGUAAAGCUCUGUUAGCAGGGAAGAGGAAGGACGGUACCUGCGGAGGAAGCCCCGGCUAACAACGUGCCAGCAGCCGCGGUAAUACGUAGGUAGCAGGCGUUGUUCGGAAUAACUGGGCGUAAAGGAUGCGUAGGCGGUUAAACAAGUUAGAUGUUAAAUAUAUAGGCCAAACCUGCAGAAAGCAUAUAAAACUGUUUAACUAGAGUGCAGGAGAGGUAAGUGGAAUUCCUGGUGUAGCGGUGAAAUGCGUAGAGAUUAGGAAGAACACCAGUGGCGAAGGCGACUUACUGGACUGUAACUGACGCUGAGGCAUGAGAGCAUGGGGAGCAAACAGGAUUAGAUACCCCUGUAGUC
Molecule: ribosomal RNA, 441 nt
Filed under: uncultured bacterium
Lineage: Bacteria
Description: partial 16S ribosomal RNA
Rfam family: Bacterial small subunit ribosomal RNA
Source: RNAcentral